ACAAAAAACUUUGAGCUCAUUGUCAGACCAAAACAUAUAGCCAUGUCGUGUGCAUUUUUUUGGCAAAACGUUGGUACUUCAAAUUUUAAAUCGUGUUCACACUAUUAAUUUCACAUUGUUAUUUAAAAUUUAGUGAGUGUCCUUCUGGGUGCCGAGGAGAAACUUUGAGCUUAUUGGCAUAUUAAUUCAUGCAAGUGGAUCCUAUAUACCUGUGCAGAUGGAUUUUGUAAAAAAAAGUAUUUAAAUUUCAACCUUGCGUUCACCCUACAAAAAAAUCAUUGAAUCAUUUGAAAUUUCUUGGGCGGUUCUCCACCUAGGUCUCACACACUUGUACAAAUGCUCUCCGUAAAAUUCAACCUCGCGUUGACACCAUCAAACUUUUCACGAAAUUACCAGGAACUUUCAAAGAUGACUGCAUGCAUACAGGAUCAACAUUGUGCAUUUUGGUGGGUCCAUAUGCGCAUGUAGGUCCCGCGAGUGUGCUCCACCUACGAAUUCCAUUUGAUUCUUCGGUGAUAGUGAAGAAUUGAUUUGGUCACAUGGGUUUUGACAUAUUCUGGCUUAAAGGAAUUGGUUGGAGUUUGGCUCCUUAACAACACAGUUUAGUGCCAACUAAGGAAAAAUAAUAAUCAUGAAUUGUAUGCUGCAAAAAAUUGCAUGUGGAGAAUAAUUUAGAAGUCCAGAGUACUAGACCACCAACCUCUUAACCUCUACUUGUGUGCAUAAUGUUUUCUUAUAUAUACCACAGAAACCUUCACUUACGUGAACAAGGAUAACUUCUGAUAUAUGUACCACUUCGUGUUCAAUAGACUAGCUUGCCUUCUAUAUUUUAAUGUGUUGGCAGCAUCAACUAAUUUAUUUCAUUAAAUAGGUAAAGGGAGUGUUAGAGAAGAGUGGAAAUCAUAUGAGAAAACCUAGGAAUAUGAGACAUCAGGAGCAAUGGCUGAACUAGCUGUCUUGGGACCAGACCAAGCUGAAUGGAACCUCUGUGUCAUCCGUGAUCAUAUCGCUGAUGCUAGAUAGACCGAUGGUUCUAGUUAUCCUGUCCCUAACAAAGUCCGUUUCUUAGGAUGCCUGCUGCACUUUGAUGGGCAAAAAUGAUGAGAUGCUCUUACGAGCAUGUAAAGUGUUGAGAAGUGUGGCAGGAGACAAGUGACGAGCAGGCCAUCAUGGAAGGUCGUCAUUAUGUUCCUCGUUGUCAUGCAAAAGCAUGGAUACAUUAAUUGGUGAAUCUGAGUAUGUCGAUGAUCACAGGUCUGGUAUGACAGUUGUGAAGCUGAAUGGAAGAUUGUACAAGUGUGGUGUCAUCGGUCACCCUUGGACCUUGGAGAGUCCUGGACUGUAAGGCUGCUCUCCUCAUCUCAGGUUAGCCUGUAAAAAAUAAGCCAGGAACCUAUGUGUUGUCAAACUUUUCAGCAGUGUUUUCUGAGGGGUUGAUUUUGUGUGGAUCAUUCUUACGCAUCUGCUGGUAUGAUGGAUCAUGAGGAAGCAAGAAUGUGCGAGAGAAAGUUCAGAUUUUUUCUAUUUUUCUUUUGAGAAACGGUUUUUUUCUACUAGGAGACAGAAAGAUUUCGCUGCCAUUGGCUCACUUGGUCUGUCUGCUACCGUUGGCUCCAGAAACUCAC
Molecule: long non-coding RNA, 1625 nt
Organism: Triticum aestivum (bread wheat)
Lineage: Eukaryota; Viridiplantae; Streptophyta; Magnoliopsida; Poales; Poaceae
Exons: 3
Source: RefSeq, a predicted model, not a curated record